AGAGUUUGAUCCUGGCUCAGGAUGAACGCUGGCGGCGUGCCUAACACAUGCAAGUCGAGCGAAGCGAUUCGGAUGAAGUUUUCGGAUGGAUUUUGGAUUGACUGAGCGGCGGACGGGUGAGUAACGCGUGGGUAACCUGCCUCAUACAGGGGGAUAACAGUUAGAAAUGACUGCUAAUACCGCAUAAGCGCACAGUACCGCAUGGUACGGUGUGAAAAACUCCGGUGGUAUGAGAUGGACCCGCGUCUGAUUAGGUAGUUGGUGGGGUAACGGCCUACCAAGCCGACGAUCAGUAGCCGACCUGAGAGGGUGACCGGCCACAUUGGGACUGAGACACGGCCCAAACUCCUACGGGAGGCAGCAGUGGGGAAUAUUGCACAAUGGGGGAAACCCUGAUGCAGCGACGCCGCGUGAGUGAAGAAGUAUUUCGGUAUGUAAAGCUCUAUCAGCAGGGAAGAAAAUGACGGUACCUGACUAAGAAGCCCCGGCUAACUACGUGCCAGCAGCCGCGGU
This 513-nucleotide ribosomal RNA is filed under the name uncultured human intestinal bacterium. Its description in RNAcentral is "bacterial SSU rRNA". It matches the Rfam family "Bacterial small subunit ribosomal RNA", at positions 8 to 521 of the family's 1533-position model. The record is from RNAcentral.